This 2041-nucleotide long non-coding RNA is filed under the name Homo sapiens (human). RNAcentral describes it as "HSALNT0297006". Lineage: Eukaryota; Metazoa; Chordata; Mammalia; Primates; Hominidae. The record is from RNAcentral.
ACACCUGAGAAGUGGUAGUUCCUAUCCUAACCUACUGGGGCCCUUUAUACCAGGUGCCAAACUUCAUUAUCCACCCCACCACCUUGCCCGGGAGGGAGAUCUGUGAAAGCGAAACGUGAUUUAAGCUGGGAUCUGGCAGCAACUUCGUGGACUCUGAAGGGCACGUGGGAAAGGAGUUUUGAUUGAAGGUGAGGGAUUUAGUGAGGUAAAAUUAUAUCCAAAUUAGAGUUUGGUAAAGGCUUCCAGGUUAAUGUCCUGUUAACGCUUAUCCUGAUUUGUGGAGGACACUUAAGCUGUCUAGGCCUAACCUUGUGUUUGAUCACUCACCUUAAUUUGUAGACAUUCUAGGAGCUCUUUGUCAAUGCCUCUUACCAUUUUUAUCAUUAACUAUUUAUGCUUAUAGAAGCAGGAAAAAUAAAUUGUGGGAGCCUUCAUCUGCAAUAGGUUUACAACUUUUUUUCUAAAAUCUUGAGGCAAGGAGACUUAUUCCCCCGCCCCUUUUUUUCUCACAGAUUUCUUGUAUGUCUCCCUCGCCCCGCCCGCACCCCGUCCCCCCGCCCCCGGACAAUUAAUUGUAGGAGGAAACAAGAACUAAGAUGUCUAUUCGAGUGAUUUUUUAUAUCUUUCUUAAGGAGAAAAAGACUGACAUUUGACACUGUGCUCUUGUUUUGUCUUGCUGAUAAUAACUGACAGCAAUGUUUACUUUUCUUACAAAUGAAACUAUCAGGGUACGUACUUUUAAGCUCUUUAAUACAAUGGGUUUCAUCCUUCCAGUGGGAGAGUAUGAAUUGCCCACUCUGCGUAGACACAUGACUGCUGGCCUGUUGGACACAUGGUCACACUUGCUAUACUCUAAAUAGUGUCUUUGUGACCUGAAACAGUCAACACUUUUCUUAAAGCUACAGUGUGCCCACACUCAUUGUAUUUUUGCUUUGUAUGGAAUUUCAAAUUUACUUAUUACCUUCUCUAUGAAUAAUAGCAUAACUUAUGCAUUCCAUUUAUGCCUUUCAGGGAACCUGAUGGUUAAUUUCUACCUCUUAAAGUAACACAUUAUGUUGUAAGAUUUUGCUCUUAAUAUAGCAGUCCCCCUUAUCCUUGGUUUCACUUUCCAAGAUUUUGUCAACCAUGGCCCAAAAAUGUUACAUCACUACUCUUGCAUUUGGGGGGUAUUAUUACAUAAAAUGAUAGUUAUAUGAACACAAGCACUGUCACACUGCAACAGUCUGACAACCCAGACAGCAACUGGCUAAUGGCAAUCUGGGCAGGGACAGAGCAGACUGUGCUCCUCAGAAUGGUGCACAAUUUAAAACUUAUGAAUCGUUUAUUUCUGGAAUUUGCUAUUUAUGUCACAAUACUUAUGUCAUUCACCUCACUUCAUCUCAUCAUGUAGGUAUUUUAUCAUCUCACAUCACAAGAAGGAGAAGGGUGAGUUCAGUACACUAAGAUGCUUUGAGAGGGAGACCAUACAUAACUUUUAUUACAGUACACUCUUAAAAUUGUUUUAUUUUAUUAUUAUUAUUUUUUGAGACAGAGCUUCUUGUCUCCCAACCAGGACUAUAAUGGCACAAUCUCAGUUCACUGCAACCUCCGCCUCCAGGUUUCAAGUGAUUCUUCUGCCUCAGCCUCCCGAGUAGCUGGGAUUACAGGUGCCCGCCACCACGCCUGGCUAAUUUUUGUAUUUUUAGUAGAGGUAGGGUUUUGCUGUGUUGGCCAGGCUGGUCUCGAACUCCUGACCCCAGGUGAUCUGCCCACCUCGGCCUCCCAAAGUGCUGGGAUUACAGGCAUGAGCCAUGGCGCCCAGCCUGUUCUAUUUUAUUAUUAUUGUUGUUAAUAUCUUACUGUGCCUAAUUUAUAAGUGAAACUUUAUCAUAGGUAUGUAUGUAUAGGAAAAAACAUAGUGCAUUUAGAGUUCAAUACUAAGGUUUCAGGCAUCCACUGAGUGUCUUGGAACACAUCCACCAGGCAUAAGGGGGUGGGGGUGACUACUAUACUUAGGUAAGAUUUAUUUGGAGAGUGCUUAAUAAAAAUUAUGAAUUUCUUG